AGAGUUUGAUCCUGGCUCAGAUUGAACGCUGGCGGCAUGCCUAACACAUGCAAGUCGAACGGAAACGAUGGAAGCUUGCUUCCAGGCGUCGAGUGGCGGACGGGUGAGUAAUACAUAGGAAUCUGCCCAGUAGUGGGGGACAACCUGGGGAAACUCAGGUUAAUACCGCAUGAGCCCUUCGGGGGAAAGCGGGGGAUCUUCGGACCUCGCGCUAUUGGAUGAGCCUAUGUCUGAUUAGCUUGUUGGUGGGGUAACGGCCUACCAAGGCGACGAUCAGUAGCUGGUCUGAGAGGAUGAUCAGCUACACUGGGACUGAGACACGGCCCAGACUCCUACGGGAGGCAGCAGUGGGGAAUAUUGGACAAUGGGGGCAACCCUGAUCCAGCAAUGCCGCGUGUGUGAAGAAGGCCUGCGGGUUGUGAAGCACUUUCAGCAGCCAAGAAAAGCCUGGGGUUAAUAUCUCCGGGUUUUGACGUCAACUGCAGAAGUAGCACCGGCUAACUCUGUGCCAGUAGCCGUGGUAAUACAGAGGGUGCAAGCGUUAAUCGGAAUUACUGGGCGUAAAGCGCGCGUAGGCGGUUUGUUUAGUCGGAUGUGAAAGCCCCGGGCUUAAUUUGGGAAUUGCAUUCGAUACUGGCAGGUUAGAGUAUGGUAGAGGGAAGUGGAAUUUUGGGUGUAGUGGUGAAAUGUGUAGAUAUUUGGAGGAAUAUUAGUGGUGAAGGUGGCUUCCUGGACCAAUACUGAUGCUGAGGUGCGAAAGCGUGGGGAGUAAAUAGGAUUAGAUAUCCUGGUAGUCCACGCUGUAAACGAUGAGAACUAGACGUUGGGUUCAUUUAAGGGCUUAGUGUUGUAGCUAACGCGUGAAGUUCUCCGCCUGGGGAGUACGGUCGCAAGAUUAAAACUCAAAGGAAUUGACGGGGGCCCGCACAAGCGGUGGAGCAUGUGGUUUAAUUUGAUGCAAUGUGAAGAAUUUUACCUGCCCUUGAUAUUUUUGGAAUUUGUUAGAGAUGAUUUGGUGUUUUUGGGAAUUGAGUGACAGGUGCUGCAUGGCUGUCGUCAGCUCGUGUUGUGAGAUGUUGGGUUAAGUCUCGCAACGAGCGUAACCCUUGUCCUUAGUUGCCAGUAUUUAGUUGGGUAUUUUAAGGAGACUGCCGGUGACAAACCGGAGGAAGGUGGGGAUGACGUUAAGUCAUCAUGGCCCUUAUGGGCAGGGCUACACACGUGCUACAAUGGUCGGUAUAAAGGGUUGUUAAUUUGUAAGGGGGAGUUAAUUUUAUAAAGCCGAUCGUAGUCCGGAUUGGAGUCUGUAAUUUGACUCCAUGAAGUCGGAAUCGCUAGUAAUCGCAGAUCAGUAUGUUGUGGUGAAUACGUUCCCGGGCCUUGUACACACCGCCCGUCACACCAUGGGAGUUGGCUGCAAAAGAAGUAGGUAGUCUAACCUUCGGGAGGACGCUUACCACUUUGUGGUCAAUGACUGGGGUGAAG
Molecule: ribosomal RNA, 1485 nt
Filed under: metagenome
Description: bacterial SSU rRNA
Rfam family: Bacterial small subunit ribosomal RNA
Source: RNAcentral